AGUCACUGACAUUAGAUACCCUGUAGUCCAGGGUGUAAACGCUGCAGACUUGGUGUUGGAAGCCCUUUGGGGCAUUCAGUGCCGGAGAGAAGUUGUUAAGUCUGCUACUUGGGAGUACGUCCGCAAGGAUGAAACUUAAAGGAAUUGGCGGGGGAGCACCGCAACGGGAGGAGCGUGCGGUUUAAUUGGAUUCAACGCCGAAAACUCACCAGCAGCGACUGUUACAUGAAAGUCAGGUUGAUGACCUUACUAGAUUUUCAG
RNAcentral lists this ribosomal RNA (261 nucleotides) under uncultured archaeon. Its description in RNAcentral is "partial 16S ribosomal RNA". It matches the Rfam family "Archaeal small subunit ribosomal RNA", at positions 718 to 982 of the family's 1478-position model. The record is from RNAcentral.